CCUACGGUGGGCUGCAGUGGGGAAUAUUGGACAAUGGGCGAAAGCCUGAUCCAGCCAUGCCGCGUGUGUGAAGAAGGCCUUCGGGUUGUAAAGCACUUUCAGUGGGGAAGAAAGCCUUGGGGCUAAUACCCUCGAGGAAGGACAUCACCCACAGAAGAAGCACCGGCUAACUCCGUGCCAGCAGCCGCGGUAAUACGGAGGGUGCGAGCGUUAAUCGGAAUUACUGGGCGUAAAGCGCGCGUAGGCGGUCUGAUAAGCCGGUUGUGAAAGCCCCGGGCUCAACCUGGGAACGGCAUCCGGAACUGUCAGGCUAGAGUGCAGGAGAGGAAGGUAGAAUUCCCGGUGUAGCGGUGAAAUGCGUAGAGAUCGGGAGGAAUACCAGUGGCGAAGGCGGCCUUCUGGACUGACACUGACGCUGAGGUGCGAAAGCGUGGGUAGCAAACAGGAUUAGAUACCCUUAGUAGUC
Molecule: ribosomal RNA, 466 nt
Filed under: Vreelandella stevensii
Lineage: Bacteria; Pseudomonadati; Pseudomonadota; Gammaproteobacteria; Oceanospirillales; Halomonadaceae
Description: partial 16S ribosomal RNA
Rfam family: Bacterial small subunit ribosomal RNA
Source: RNAcentral